Molecule: long non-coding RNA, 376 nt
Filed under: Hordeum vulgare
Lineage: Eukaryota; Viridiplantae; Streptophyta; Magnoliopsida; Poales; Poaceae
Description: long non-coding RNA (HVUL_LNC016744)
Source: RNAcentral
CGUGCCGCGCGAGGAGAAGACGGCGCUCAUCGACGAGAUCGCCAAGUCGUCGGAGCUGCAGCCGCACACCGUCAACUUCCUCAACGUCGUCAUCGACAACACCCGCGCGGGCCUGAUGCCGCAGAUCGUGCGCGAGUUCGAGACCGCCUACAACGCGCUCACCGGCACCGAGGAGGCCGUCGUCACCUCCGUCGUGCAGCUCGAGUCGCAGGACCUCGCGCAGAUCGCCACGCACGUGCAGAACAUCACCGGCGCCGCCAACGUCCGGAUCAAGACCCGCCUCGACCCGGAGCUCAUCGCCGGAUUCACCGUGCAGUACGGCCGCGACAGCUCCAACUUCAUCGACAUGAGCGUCCGCAAGCAGAUCGCGGAGAUC